This 434-nucleotide ribosomal RNA is filed under the name uncultured Bacillota bacterium. Its description in RNAcentral is "bacterial SSU rRNA". It matches the Rfam family "Bacterial small subunit ribosomal RNA", at positions 917 to 1359 of the family's 1533-position model. The record is from RNAcentral. Lineage: Bacteria; Bacillati; Bacillota.
GGGCCCGCACAAGCAGUGGAUUAUGUGGUUUAAUUCGAAGCAACGCGAAGAACCUUACCAGGUCUUGACAUCCCUUGCAUAGCCUAGAGAUAGGUGAAGCCCUUCGGGGCAAGGAGACAGGUGGUGCAUGGUUGUCGUCAGCUCGUGUCGUGAGAUGUUGGGUUAAGUCCCGCAACGAGCGCAACCCUUACGAUUAGUUGCUACGCAAGAGCACUCUAAUGGGACUGCCGUUGAGAAAACGGAGGAAGGUGGGGAUGACGUCAAAUCAUCAUGCCCCUUAUGACCUGGGCUACACACGUAAUACAAUGGCGAUUUAACAGAGGGCGCAAACCCGCGAGGGGAGCAAAUCCCGAAAAAUCGUCUCAGUUCGGAUUGUAGGCUGAAACCCGCCUGCAUGAAGUCGGAAUUGCUAGUAAUCGCGGAUCAGCAUGCCG